Molecule: long non-coding RNA, 789 nt
Organism: Neofelis nebulosa (Clouded leopard)
Lineage: Eukaryota; Metazoa; Chordata; Mammalia; Carnivora; Felidae
Exons: 3
Source: RefSeq, a predicted model, not a curated record
GUUGUUGCCAAGGGAACCACUGGAAACACUGCAGCCAUCCUUAGUUUCCAGGGUGGAACUGAUCUGGAUAGAAGCAAUGGAAUGAGAUGUGUAUUUCUCUUUUUGUUUAAGGGGAGGAGAAGGGUAAAGAGAUGGUGAGAGAGAGAGAGAAACGGCAUCUGUUUUCUGGUCCUUGGGAAGAAAGCAGAGAAUGAAAGGGAAGCAGGAAGAUUAAACAAAGACUGGGGAAGGACUUCUGGCUGUAAGUUGGGAAAAGCACAGGAUGUCACAAAACCACCUGGUCACAGUCUACUAUGGCAGAAGUGACGCUGUGCCUGUCCCGAGCCCAACUUCUAAGAGGACUGUUGGGUUUGUUUCCUUACUUUGUGCCCUGAGCCACCAAGAAAGAAGCUCCACUACCCCAAGACCACCAUGUUGUGAGGAAGCCCAAGCUAGCCAUGUGGAAAUAGAGAAGCUGAUCCCUGGACAGUCCCCAUUUUCUUCAGCCCCUGCCAUUUGAGUCUUACAGCUGAGAGUCUGAAAUCAUGGAGCAGAGAGAUGCUGUCCCCAUUACAUCUCGUUCAAAUUUCUUCUCCAGAGAAUCAUGAGGUGUAACAAUAAAGAAAUGUUGUUUUAAUUUACUACAUUUCUAGUAGUUUGUUAUAGAGCAACAGAUGGUGGUGAUACAACUUUACUAUGAUACUGAAUUUUGCUGUUACCAGAGUUUAACACUUAUCAGAGGGAAGCUAAAAUCUGCCUUGAAAAGAAAUUUCCUUCAAAUAAGGUCUGUACUUCAGUUAAUGAUGUGAU